GAGGGUCCUGCGUCUGAUUAGGUAGUUGGUGGGGUAACGGCCUACCAAGCCAUCGAUCAGUAGCCGGCCUGAGAGGGUGAUCGGCCACACUGGAACUGAGACACGGUCCAGACUCCUACGGGAGGCAGCAGUGGGGAAUUUUGCGCAAUGGACGAAAGUCUGACGCAGCAACGCCGCGUGGGUGAUGAAGGUCUUCGGAUUGUAAAACCCUGUCGUCAGGGACGAAGGUCGUGGGGUUAAUAACCUUGCGGCUUGACGGUACCUGGAGAGGAAGCCCCGGCUAACUCUGUGCCAGCAGCCGCGGUAAUACAGAGGGGGCAAGCGUUAUUCGGAAUUAUUGGGCGUAAAGGGCGCGUAGGCGGUUUUGUAAGUCGGAUGUGUAAUCCCCGAGCUUAACUUGGGAACUGCAUCCGAGACUGCAAGGCUAGAGUGCUGGAGAGGGUGGUAGAAUUCCACGUGUAGCGGUGAAAUGCGUAGAGAUGUGGAGGAAUACCAGUGGCGAAGGCGGCCACCUGGACAGUAACUGACGCUGAUGCGCGAAAGUGUGGGUAGCAAACAGGAUUAGAU
Molecule: ribosomal RNA, 567 nt
Filed under: uncultured bacterium
Lineage: Bacteria
Description: bacterial SSU rRNA
Rfam family: Bacterial small subunit ribosomal RNA
Source: RNAcentral